AGAUUUACCUGGCAGAGGACAUACCACGAUCAGGAAGGUGGUUUUCCAGAGCAAGGCUGACCCACUGCACUCUACGUGUGCUGACUCCUGCGAUUUCCCCAAAUGUGGGAAACUCAACUGCAUAAUUUGUGGUAAUGGAGGACUGCGCUCAUGCUUUCCUUUG
Small nuclear RNA from Molossus molossus (Pallas's mastiff bat), 163 nucleotides. RefSeq annotates it as U1 spliceosomal RNA. The record is from RefSeq and is a predicted model, not a curated record. Lineage: Eukaryota; Metazoa; Chordata; Mammalia; Chiroptera; Molossidae. The transcript has a single exon.